Molecule: transfer RNA, 89 nt
Filed under: Colletotrichum higginsianum
Lineage: Eukaryota; Fungi; Ascomycota; Sordariomycetes; Glomerellales; Glomerellaceae
Also listed under: 1 other name
Description: tRNA CH063_16425
Rfam family: tRNA
About the family: Transfer RNA (tRNA) molecules are approximately 80 nucleotides in length. Their secondary structure includes four short double-helical elements and three loops (D, anti-codon, and T loops).
Source: Rfam by way of RNAcentral
GGUCUAUUAGUCUAGUUGGUUAGGACGUCGGAUUCUGACUUUACAGUCAUAUUCUUCCGUAGGCCCAGGUUCGAAUCCUGGAUGGACCU